GACAGAGGGUGCAAACGUUGUUCGGAAUUACUGGGCGUAAAGCGCGUGUAGGCGGCCCUGUAAGUCGGGUGUGAAAUCCCACGGCUCAACCGUGGAAGUGCACUCGAAACUACAGGGCUAGAGUCCUGGAGAGGAAGGUGGAAUGCUUGGUGUAGAGGUGAAAUUCGUAGAUAUCAAGCGGAACACCGGUGGCGAAGGCGGCCUUCUGGACAGUGACUGACGCUGAGAAGCGAAAGCAUGGGGAGCGAACAGG
This 253-nucleotide ribosomal RNA is filed under the name uncultured bacterium. RNAcentral describes it as "partial 16S ribosomal RNA". It matches the Rfam family "Bacterial small subunit ribosomal RNA", at positions 524 to 776 of the family's 1533-position model. The record is from RNAcentral.